GAUGAACGCUGGCGGCGUGCCUAAUACAUGCAAGUCGAGCGAACAGACGAGGAGCUUGCUCCUCUGACGUUAGCGGCGGACGGGUGAGUAACACGUGGAUAACCUACCUAUAAGACUGGGAUAACUUCGGGAAACCGGAGCUAAUACCGGAUAAUAUAUUGAACCGCAUGGUUCAAUAGUUCAAGACGGUUUUGCUGUCACUUAUAGAUGGAUCCGCGCCGCAUUAGCUAGUUGGUAAGGUAACGGCUUACCAAGGCAACGAUGCGUAGCCGACCUGAGAGGGUGAUCGGCCACACUGGAACUGAGACACGGUCCAGACUCCUACGGGAGGCAGCAGUGGGGAAUCUUCCGCAAUGGGCGAAAGCCUGACGGAGCAACGCCGCGUGAGUGAUGAAGGUCUUCGGAUCGUAAAACUCUGUUAUUAGGGAAGAACAAAUGUGUAAGUAACUAUGCACGUCUUGACGGUACCUAAUCAGAAAGCCACGGCUAACUACGUG
Molecule: ribosomal RNA, 497 nt
Filed under: uncultured bacterium
Lineage: Bacteria
Description: partial 16S ribosomal RNA
Rfam family: Bacterial small subunit ribosomal RNA
Source: RNAcentral